UGGGUUGUGGCUCAGAGGUAGAGCACUUGCCUAGUGUGCGUGAGGCACUGGGUUCGAUCCCUGGCACCACAU
Molecule: transfer RNA, 72 nt
Filed under: Ictidomys tridecemlineatus (thirteen-lined ground squirrel)
Lineage: Eukaryota; Metazoa; Chordata; Mammalia; Rodentia; Sciuridae
Description: Spermophilus tridecemlineatus (thirteen-lined ground squirrel) tRNA
Rfam family: tRNA
About the family: Transfer RNA (tRNA) molecules are approximately 80 nucleotides in length. Their secondary structure includes four short double-helical elements and three loops (D, anti-codon, and T loops).
Source: Rfam by way of RNAcentral